This 253-nucleotide ribosomal RNA is filed under the name uncultured bacterium. RNAcentral describes it as "partial 16S ribosomal RNA". It matches the Rfam family "Bacterial small subunit ribosomal RNA", at positions 524 to 776 of the family's 1533-position model. The record is from RNAcentral.
UACGAGUGCCUCAAGCGUUAUCCGGAAUCAUUGGGCGUAAAGGAUGUGUAGGUGGUCACAUUAGUCUCCUGUUAAAUUUCCCGGCUUAACCGGGAACAUGCAGGGGAAACGGUGUGACUAGAGGGUGCAAGGGGUCUACGGAACUCAUAGUGUAGCGGUGAAAUGCGUUGAUAUUAUGGGGAACACCAAAAGCGAAGGCAGUAGACUGGGGCACUCCUGACACUGAAACAUGAAAGCGUGGGUAGCGAAUGGG